UCCUACGGGGGGCAGCAGUGAGGAAUAUUGGUCAAUGGGCUUACGCCUGAACCAGCCAAGUCGCGUGAGGGAAGACUGCCCUAUGGGUUGUAAACCUCUUUUGUCAGGGAGCAACGCCGGCUACGUGUAGCCGGACUGAGAGUACCUGAAGAAAAAGCAUCGGCUAACUCCGUGCCAGCAGCCGCGGUAAUACGGAGGAUGCGAGCGUUAUCCGGAUUUAUUGGGUUUAAAGGGUGCGUAGGCGGAAUGCCAAGUCAGCGGUAAAAUCGCGGGGCUCAACCUCGCCCCGCCGUUGAAACUGGCGU
This 305-nucleotide ribosomal RNA is filed under the name uncultured bacterium. RNAcentral describes it as "bacterial SSU rRNA". It matches the Rfam family "Bacterial small subunit ribosomal RNA", at positions 337 to 639 of the family's 1533-position model. The record is from RNAcentral.